Long non-coding RNA from Amphimedon queenslandica, 829 nucleotides. RefSeq lists it as uncharacterized. NCBI's taxonomy places the organism in Eukaryota, Metazoa, Porifera, Demospongiae, Haplosclerida, Niphatidae. The transcript is spliced from 3 exons. The record is from RefSeq and is a predicted model, not a curated record.
AGCUCAAAUAAAGAGGUCUUUCCAACAUCUUUAUCACCAAUUAAAACUAUCUAUUCCAUACAAAAGGAAAGAAGUCUAUUUACAAGAUCUCUGCAACGCCAUGUUUGGUAGACUCUGCCCCCUAACUCUGCCCCUCACAUUUUUGUGGUUUCAACUAAAAUGCAUGUUAAAAUAAUGAAACAUGCAGCCAGGAUUAGUAGAUAUCCUUCUUGUUUCAGGUUGACUUUAUAUACCUAUAGAUAGAAAUCAUGCUCAAAAAUAUUAGGUUGAUCUAUUUAAAUUUAUUUUCUACCAUAUUUUAUGACCAUGAUCUGUGCUGAUCUGUGUUAAUUGGCGCUGCAUGAGCUUCUCACGGGCUGCUCUAAGAACAGUAUAAAAUCACUGAUAGACAGUCCAUAACCUCAGUAUAAAUCAUAGUUGCCUGCAGGAACUUUCAAUAUUUCCUUAGUCACAAUGAAUGCUAUCACGAACAUGUUUUGUCUUCUCCUAUUGGUACUUCAGUCAUCUAAAUGCUCAGCACAGCAGUGCACAGAGAAGUUCAUGGACUUAUCAUUAGUGAAGUACAGAGCUGAGCAUAUUGGGAGUGAGUCUGCAGGCUAUAUUUUAAGAGAAGAGACCAUAGUCCUACAAGAGUACCGAUUCAAUUGCUCAUACACCAGAAUAACUCAUCUUAUCCUGGGUAUUGAUGUAAGAUCAAGGCUCACAUUUCAACUUUUUCCUAAAGUCCAAAUUUUGCGAUCAAGAAAAAAAUCUAGCUUACAAUAUGAUGUUGUGAGUGAGAGAGUUAUCUAUUAUUCCACCACUAAUGUCAGUACUAGUGGAGUCUUUG